ACACCACUGCACUCCAGCCUGGGCGACAGAGCAAGAAUCCAUCUCAAAAAGAAAAAAAGAAAAAAAAUUAAAAUACUAUAAAGGCAUGAAACAACCAGGUACAUUUAGGAGGUAUCUACUGAGCUCCUAUUAUGUGCUAGGCACAGGGUCCUUCUGUUCUGUUCACCUAGCCUGAUGGCUGUCAUCAUCAAAUAUUUGUUGCAUGCAAAAUGCGUAAAUGAUCUCAUAUAGUCCUAUAACAAUCCUUUGAAGCAUUAUGCCUAUUUUACAGAUUAGGGGACUUGUCCAAAGUUACUCAACUAUGAAGAGUCAAGAUUCAAAUCCGGGAGACGGAGGUUACAAUGAGCCGAGAUCGUGCCACUGCACUCUAGCCUGGGCAACAGAGCAAGACUCCAUCUUAAAAUAAAUUGGGAGACCGAGUUUUCCUGAGUGUUCUCAUGACAUGAAAGCUGGCUUCCCCCAGAGUGUGUGAUUCAAGAGGAAACAAGCAAGCAAGAGAGCACCUGAGAUGGAGGACAGAGUUUCUUGUGUCCUAACCUCAGAAGUGACAUCACUUCGGCUGCAUGCUAGUGGUCACAGACCAACUAUGGCCCAGUGUAGAAGAGGAAGCAGGCAUCAUUGGGGGCCAUCUUGGAGGCUGGGCUACCACUGUGGCUGUCAAAUCUUUGAGGUAUUUAUACUCUAUUGGAAAACUUUAAAAUAAUGACCUAACAGCUUUAAUUUUAAAUGUCAGUAUUUAUGCUGAAAGUUUCAUAAUUUGCUACUACUACGCUAAUGAUGAAAAACUUUAAAGAUACACCUAGGGGGUAUAUAGUUGUUUUUUUUUUUGAGAUGGAGUCUCCCUCUGU
Molecule: long non-coding RNA, 848 nt
Filed under: Homo sapiens (human)
Lineage: Eukaryota; Metazoa; Chordata; Mammalia; Primates; Hominidae
Description: HSALNT0300377
Source: RNAcentral